This 93-nucleotide microRNA precursor is filed under the name Cajanus cajan (pigeon pea). RNAcentral describes it as "miRNA gene-KK1_050408". The record is from RNAcentral. Lineage: Eukaryota; Viridiplantae; Streptophyta; Magnoliopsida; Fabales; Fabaceae.
UAUUAAAUAAUAAUUAAUAUUUGAUAAAUUAAAAUUAAAUUUUUAUUUUUAAAAAAUUAAAUUAAAAAUUUUAAAGACUAAAAAUAUAUUUAA